CCUACGGGGUGCAGCAGUGAGGAAUAUUGGUCAAUGGGCGCGAGCCUGAACCAGCCAAGUCGCGUGAGGGGAGACGGUCCUAUGGAUUGUAAACCUCUUUUGUCGGGGAGCAAAAGACGCCACGCGUGGCGUUCCGAGAGUACCCGAAGAAUAAGCAUCGGCUAACUCCGUGCCAGCAGCCGCGGUAAUACGGAGGAUGCGAGCGUUAUCCGGAUUUAUUGGGUUUAAAGGGUGCGCAGGCGGAAGAUCAAGUCAGCGGUAAAAUUGAGAGGCUCAACCUCAUCGAGCCGUUGAAACUGGUGUUCUUGAGUGAGCGAGAGGUAUGCGGAAUGCGUGGUGUAGCGGUGAAAUGCAUAGAUAUCACGCAGAACUCCGAUUGCGAAGGCAGCAUACCGGCGCUCAACUGACGCUCAUGCACGAAAGUGUGGGUAUCGAACAGGAUUAGAUACCCGAGUAGUC
RNAcentral lists this ribosomal RNA (459 nucleotides) under uncultured bacterium. RNAcentral's name for it is "partial 16S ribosomal RNA". It matches the Rfam family "Bacterial small subunit ribosomal RNA", at positions 338 to 795 of the family's 1533-position model. The record is from RNAcentral.